RNAcentral lists this small nuclear RNA (290 nucleotides) under Jaculus jaculus (lesser Egyptian jerboa). Its description in RNAcentral is "7SK RNA (ENSJJAG00000007474.1)". It matches the Rfam family "7SK RNA". From Rfam's summary of the family: 7SK was discovered as an abundant small nuclear RNA in the mid-70s but a possible function has only recently been suggested. Two independent studies have found that 7SK RNA binds the CDK9/cyclin T complex (known as elongation factor P-TEFb). Lineage: Eukaryota; Metazoa; Chordata; Mammalia; Rodentia; Dipodidae. The record is from Rfam by way of RNAcentral.
GGAUGUGAGGGUGAUCUGGCUGUGACAUUUGUCAACUCAUUGGUCGUCAGAGUUGAUUUGGAUGAUCUGGCUGGCUAGGUGGGUGUCCCCUUCCUCCUUCACCUCUCUGUGUGCAUCUCUCCCGAAGAUGCACACACUCCAUCAAAGAGGACGACCUUCUCCAAUAGAGGACUGGUCUUGGGUCACAGAUAUACAAGUAGCUGUGCUCCCCUGCUAGAACCUCCAAAUAAGCUUUCAAAAUCCAGCAGGGGAGCCAAGUUGGGCCUGCCCUCCUAGGAGGCAGCAUUCUA